This 345-nucleotide unclassified non-coding RNA is filed under the name soil metagenome. RNAcentral describes it as "partial contains 5.8S ribosomal RNA, internal transcribed spacer 2, and large subunit ribosomal RNA". The stretch from base 1 to 120 matches the Rfam family "5.8S ribosomal RNA", at positions 35 to 154 of the family's 154-position model. The record is from RNAcentral.
GAUGAAGAACGUAGCGAAAUGCGAUACGUAAUGUGAAUUGCAGAAUUCAGUGAAUCAUCGAGUCUUUGAACGCACAUUGCGCCCCCUGGUAUUCCGGGGGGCAUGCCUGUCCGAGCGUCAUUGCUGCCCUCAAGCACGGCUUGUGUGUUGGGCCUCCGUCCUCCUCCCGGGGGACGGGCCCGAAAGGCAGCGGCGGCACCGCGUCCGGUCCUCGAGCGUAUGGGGCUUCGUCACCCGCUCUUGUAGGCCCGGCCGGCGCUUGCCGACACAUCAAUCUUUUUUCCAGGUUGACCUCGGAUCAGGUAGGGAUACCCGCUGAACUUAAGCAUAUCAAUAAGCGGCGGA